CUCAGGAUGAACGCUGGCGGCAGGCUUAAUACAUGCAAGUCGAACGGUAACAGAGCUAGCAAUAGCUGCUGACGAGUGGCGGAUGGGUGCGUAACGCGUAUGCAACCUACCUGUAAUUGGAACAUAACGUUGAGAAAUUAGCGCUAAUAUUCCAUGUGGAUAUGAGACGGCAUCGUUUUAUAUUUAAAGAUUAAUUGAUUACAGAUGGGCAUGACGUAUCAUUAGCUAGUUGGUAAGGUAACGGCUCACCAAGGCAACGAUGAUUAGGGGUUCUGAGAGGAUAUCCCCCCACACUGGAACUGAGACACGGUCCAGACUCCUACGGGAGGCAGCAGUAGGGAAUAUUGGGCAAUGGAGGCAACUCUGACCCAGCCAAUGCCGCGUGAAGGAAUACAGCCCUACGGGUUUUAAACUUCUUUUAUUAUAGAGUAACCGGAGGUACGUGUACCUCCCUGCAAGUAUAUAAUGAAUAAGGAUCGGCUAACUCCGUGCCAGCAGCCGC
Molecule: ribosomal RNA, 502 nt
Filed under: uncultured bacterium
Lineage: Bacteria
Description: bacterial SSU rRNA
Rfam family: Bacterial small subunit ribosomal RNA
Source: RNAcentral